RNAcentral lists this ribosomal RNA (233 nucleotides) under uncultured bacterium. Its description in RNAcentral is "partial 16S ribosomal RNA". It matches the Rfam family "Bacterial small subunit ribosomal RNA", at positions 100 to 334 of the family's 1533-position model. The record is from RNAcentral.
CGGGACGGGUGAGUAAUGUCUGGGAAACUGCCCGAUGGAGGGGGAUAACUACUGGAAACGGUAGCUAAUACCGCAUAACGUCGCAAGACCAAAGAGGGGGACCUUCGGGCCUCUUGCCAUCGGAUGUGCCCAGAUGGGAUUAGCUAGUAGGUGGGGUAACGGCUCACCUAGGCGACGAUCCCUAGCUGGUCUGAGAGGAUGACCAGCCACACUGGAACUGAGACAUGGUCCAG